UACAAGCCAAGUGUUGCCAAGAUUGC
RNAcentral lists this non-coding RNA (26 nucleotides) under Homo sapiens (human). The record is from RNAcentral. Lineage: Eukaryota; Metazoa; Chordata; Mammalia; Primates; Hominidae.